GUUUGAAUGCUUGUUCCCUAGCUGGUGA
RNAcentral lists this non-coding RNA (28 nucleotides) under Rattus norvegicus (Norway rat). The record is from RNAcentral. Lineage: Eukaryota; Metazoa; Chordata; Mammalia; Rodentia; Muridae.